AAAUUGAAGAGUUUGAUCAUGGCUCAGAUUGAACGCUGGCGGCAGGCCUAACACAUGCAAGUCGAACGGUAACAGGAAGCAGCUUGCUGCUUUGCUGACGAGUGGCGGACGGGUGAGUAAUGUCUGGGAAACUGCCUGAUGGAGGGGGAUAACUACUGGAAACGGUGGCUAAUACCGCAUAACGUCGCAAGACCAAAGAGGGGGACCUUCGGGCCUCUUGCCAUCAGAUGUGCCCAGAUGGGAUUAGCUUGUUGGUGAGGUAACGGCUCACCAAGGCGACGAUCCCUAGCUGGUCUGAGAGGAUGACCAGCCACACUGGAACUGAGACACGGUCCAGACUCCUACGGGAGGCAGCAGUGGGGAAUAUUGCACAAUGGGCGCAAGCCUGAUGCAGCCAUGCCGCGUGUAUGAAGAAGGCCUUCGGGUUGUAAAGUACUUUCAGCGGGGAGGAAGGUGUUGUGGUUAAUAACCACAGCAAUUGACGUUACCCGCAGAAGAAGCACCGGCUAACUCCGUGCCAGCAGCCGCGGUAAUACGGAGGGUGCAAGCGUUAAUCGGAAUUACUGGGCGUAAAGCGCACGCAGGCGGUCUGUCAAGUCGGAUGUGAAAUCCCCGGGCUCAACCUGGGAACUGCAUUCGAAACUGGCAGGCUUGAGUCUUGUAGAGGGGGGUAGAAUUCCAGGUGUAGCGGUGAAAUGCGUAGAGAUCUGGAGGAAUACCGGUGGCGAAGGCGGCCCCCUGGACAAAGACUGACGCUCAGGUGCGAAAGCGUGGGGAGCAAACAGGAUUAGAUACCCUGGUAGUCCACGCCGUAAACGAUGUCUACUUGGAGGUUGUGCCCUUGAGGCGUGGCUUCCGGAGCUAACGCGUUAAGUAGACCGCCUGGGGAGUACGGCCGCAAGGUUAAAACUCAAAUGAAUUGACGGGGGCCCGCACAAGCGGUGGAGCAUGUGGUUUAAUUCGAUGCAACGCGAAGAACCUUACCUGGUCUUGACAUCCACAGAACUUUCCAGAGAUGGACUGGUGCCUUCGGGAACUGUGAGACAGGUGCUGCAUGGCUGUCGUCAGCUCGUGUUGUGAAAUGUUGGGUUAAGUCCCGCAACGAGCGCAACCCUUAUCCUUUGUUGCCAGCGAUUAGGUCGGGAACUCAAAGGAGACUGCCAGUGAUAAACUGGAGGAAGGUGGGGAUGACGUCAAGUCAUCAUGGCCCUUACGACCAGGGCUACACACGUGCUACAAUGGCGCAUACAAAGAGAAGCGACCUCGCGAGAGCAAGCGGACCUCAUAAAGUGCGUCGUAGUCCGGAUUGGAGUCUGCAACUCGACUCCAUGAAGUCGGAAUCGCUAGUAAUCGUGGAUCAGAAUGCCACGGUGAAUACGUUCCCGGGCCUUGUACACACCGCCCGUCACACCAUGGGAGUGGGUUGCAAAAGAAGUAGGUAGCUUAACCUUCGGGAGGGCGCUUACCACUUUGUGAUUCAUGACUGGGGUGAAGUCGUAACAAGGUAACCGUAGGGGAACCUGCGGUUGGAUCACCUCCUUACCU
This 1545-nucleotide ribosomal RNA is filed under the name Salmonella enterica. RNAcentral describes it as "bacterial SSU rRNA". It matches the Rfam family "Bacterial small subunit ribosomal RNA". Lineage: Bacteria; Pseudomonadati; Pseudomonadota; Gammaproteobacteria; Enterobacterales; Enterobacteriaceae. The record is from RNAcentral. RNAcentral also lists the same sequence under 2 other names.